UGAGUAGGCGGUUACAUAUGUCAGAUGUAAAAGGCACAGGCUUAACUUGUGUUAGCAUUUGAAACUGUGUGACUUGAGUGCAGGAGGAGGUAAGUGGAAUUCCUAGUGUAGCGGUGAAAUGCGUAGAUAUUAGGAGGAACACCAGUGGCGAAGGCGACUUACUGGACUGUAACUGACGCUGAGUCACGAAAGCGUGGGUAGCAAACA
RNAcentral lists this ribosomal RNA (207 nucleotides) under uncultured Eubacteriales bacterium. RNAcentral's name for it is "uncultured Clostridiales bacterium partial 16S ribosomal RNA". It matches the Rfam family "Bacterial small subunit ribosomal RNA", at positions 568 to 774 of the family's 1533-position model. Lineage: Bacteria; Bacillati; Bacillota; Clostridia; Eubacteriales. The record is from RNAcentral.